GCCUGGGUGGCUCAGUUGGUUAAGCGUCCGACUUUAGCUCAGGUCACAGUCUCGUGGUUCGUGGGUUCGAGCCCCACGACAGGCU
This 85-nucleotide transfer RNA is filed under the name Felis catus (domestic cat). It matches the Rfam family "tRNA". From Rfam's summary of the family: Transfer RNA (tRNA) molecules are approximately 80 nucleotides in length. The record is from Rfam by way of RNAcentral. Lineage: Eukaryota; Metazoa; Chordata; Mammalia; Carnivora; Felidae.